CCCAGACUCCUACGGGAGGCAGCAGUGGGGAAUAUUGGACAAUGGGGGGAACCCUGAUCCAGCGACGCCGCGUGAGUGAAGAAGUAUUUCGGUAUGUAAAGCUCUCUCAGCAGGGAAGAAAGAAAUGACGGUACCUGACUAAGAAGCCCCAGCUAACUACGUGCCAGCAGCCGCGGUAAUACGUAGGGGGCAAGCGUUAUCCGGAUUUACUGGGUGUAAAGGGAGCGUAGACGGCAUGGCAAGUCAGAUGUGAAAGCCCGGGGCUCAACCCCGGGACUGCAUUUGAAGCUGUCAGGCUGGAGUGCAGGAGAGGUAAGUGGAAUUCCUAGUGUAGCGGUGAAAUGCGUAGAUAUUAGGAGGAACACCAGUGGCGAAGGCGGCUUACUGGACUGUAACUGACGUUGAGGCUCGAAAGCGUGGGGAGCAAACAGGAUUAGAUACCCCGGUAGG
RNAcentral lists this ribosomal RNA (450 nucleotides) under uncultured bacterium. Its description in RNAcentral is "bacterial SSU rRNA". It matches the Rfam family "Bacterial small subunit ribosomal RNA", at positions 330 to 794 of the family's 1533-position model. The record is from RNAcentral.